This is a long non-coding RNA of Thamnophis elegans (Western terrestrial garter snake), 374 nucleotides long. RefSeq lists it as uncharacterized. The record is from RefSeq and is a predicted model, not a curated record. The transcript has 2 exons. NCBI's taxonomy places the organism in Eukaryota, Metazoa, Chordata, Lepidosauria, Squamata, Natricidae.
CGCGAAUACCAGGUCAAGCCGGAGUACAACAAUAUCCUCCGAGGGCAGCUGGAGAAGGCGGACGCGCUGGACCUGAGCUAUCUCCUGGACCCAAUGAUGAAAUAUAAAUCACCCAGAGUCCUGGGGUGGCUGUAAUAGAUCUACUCUAUAAAAAAUAAAGAAGUUCCAUUCGACAUCAUCCUUCUCCAUCAAUGAGAGUUUUGAGUUUUCUCCUUUCAGUAUAUAACUCUGUUUCCAAGACCUUUGCUUCAAUCAUGUUCCAUUAACGGAGGAUCAAAAGGUGGCCACCAAGAUGUCCACAAUUUCUGAUUUUGCUUUGAAGAUCCUCUGCUUCAAGCAACUCAGUCUGGAUGGAUCCAAAGCCUUCUCCAAGU